Non-coding RNA from Xyrichtys novacula (pearly razorfish), 14187 nucleotides. NCBI's taxonomy places the organism in Eukaryota, Metazoa, Chordata, Actinopteri, Labriformes, Labridae. The record is from the annotation of a GenBank genome assembly.
UAGAAUGCAUGCAAUGUCCCCAAUUACAGUCCCAGCAGGAGACCUUCAAAAGCAGAUAACACAGCUUUGGGGUUUGCAUUGGAACAGCAUUUCUGGCCUACAGUGAUACAAGUUUGUAAAAUGGUGGUCAUAUGCUGUGUCUAACUCCAGUUCAGGACUAAUGCUGCACUACUACAAUACUCUACUGUUGCAAGGUUUAUUAUGGCUCAGUGGUGUGAAGUAAUUGGUAGUAUUUUGAUAUUUAGAAGAUGGAGAUUAAGUUGUAUGUAGGUGGUGUCUAGUUGAACUGACAGGUAACUACUAAACUGGAGCUUUGUGUUACCAGCACAGGUAUGUGGGCUUGAAUUUGAUGGGAUGGGCUAGCUCUACAGUACUAAUGUUGGCCACAAGGCAAACCAGUCUGACCUUGUAAUCCUAAAUUGGGCAAUGUUCAAUAAAUCAUAGAGUCUCAGCGCCUGCAGAAACUCUAUAUAAAUAGGAAGUGUUAUCAUCAAAUCUGAAAUACAGGGUCCCAAGUUUUAAUAAGGUCGGACCGAAGCGCUCUUUCAUAGACUCGUCUAUUUUAAAGUUAAAUAUAUAGCUAAAUCCUAGAUUAAAAGUAUGUUAAAGGGCUCAGAAUAUGUGCUCUGGUGUUCAAAAUGUUUUGUCAUGUUUUCAUUCAUGUAUCUUGCAGAGACAAAAGUUAGAUUUCACACUCACCGUACAGUCUUAUCUAAUGUAAUCUUGUCUGAUCUCAUUCAACUCAUACUGUCUAUUUUCCAAGAGUUGUCUUAACUGCAGACAAGUUGGAAUAAGAGUUUGACAAGAAGUAUGUCACAAUUAUCAUUAGUGUCCUUCCCCAAUGACCAUCUAAAAGUGAAACUUAACCAUUUGGAAAAAUAUGCCAUGUACAAGCAGCGCCACUCUCUGAGUUGUGUUGAUUUUAGCGCCCCCUAGGAUGUACUUAAAAUCUGAUUUUGUCCCUAACUUCUGUGAGUAAUCUUCCAACAAAAGAUGAUCCUGCUGUCUUUUGACAUAACCUGAAUCAGAAAAUGAAAACAAAAGGGUGGAAACACUAAAACAUGGCUAUCUUGUCUUUUUAUGCUGAUGAUAUGAAACUUUAGAUCUGAAACAAGGUACAAAGUUAACAGUCCCACACAAAUAAUGGUAACCGUUAAGAAAUGUAACCUUGUGGAGCUGAAAGACCUUACUGAGUUCAAAAAGCCAUUUAAGAUUGAGAUAUAUCCUGGUAUAUUGCAGUUCUAUUAAAUAUGUAAUUGGGUCAAAGCCUCCAAAGAUUUCCAGCAAAUGACGACACCUUUAAUCCUUGUAAUCCUGUCGAAAUCUUUAUCAUUUGAUGUUUUCAUUUUUAGGUUCUGAUAGGAUUUCUGCUGAUGCUGACACAAGUCCCUGAAAUUAAAAUGUGUUAAGAUUUUCCAUCAAAAAUUAUGUCGAUGAACAGAGUUAAAGGCUGGAAGCAAGGUGACAGGAAAGUCUUUGGUUGUUACGCAAGACAAAAUUAAGUCUCACUUGUCCUACUCGAACAGUUUCUGGGAAAGUUGGCGAAACGACACGAUACUUUCGCACCCAUCUGGACUCGAGUGGAAAGGGCAUGAGGAGUUAUCUUCUUAUUUAACGCUCUGGGUUCUAACUGAACAUUUACUUUGUGUUUGUGCGUUCAAAACAUGUCACAGUUUGACUUUUGCUGCCUACCGCGCUGACAGGCAUCAGUUUCAGCUCCCCUGUCAGACUAUGAGGCUUUUCAUGUCUUUUUUUAGGCAUUUCUCGAGGAGAGAGGGGGGGAUGCCAGCAUCUCUGUGAGUGUGUGACGUCUGACAGAAUCAGAAACGGAGCUCUAAGGGACCAUCACCGCUGAUGCAGAAAGCAAUCUGUCAGCAUGGCGUUAGGAGGGGACGUUUCCCUCAUAACCGAGACGAACACGGCGAUCGGUGUUCUUUUAUGAAGACUGAGUCACUGCGAAUCAGAGGGAGGAAGGAGAGACACGGAGAGACACGGAGAGACAGAGAGUGUUUGUUGUAUCUCCGUGAAACAGAGAUGAACACAAAAGGGAAUGGGUUACAUAUUUCACACAAAAAACAAAGCUGGAUCAAUAAUAUAAAUUUCAACAUCUUUUUCUUUUUGCUCUUACAUGUUUUGUUUUUUUCUACAUUCUCUCACUUUGUUCCCUUUCCGAGCAUUUCUGAGGUGAAAAAACCUCCAGUGCCCUGCAUCACUCUGAUAAGAGCCACUGUUGUGCACUGGAUCACCGCCAUUUAGCCCGUAAUUCUUUUCUUUUAUUCCGCUGAACAAUUCAGUUCUGUGUCACUAAAUGGUUGGUCCCCGUUUGAGAUAAGGGACAAAGACCACCUCAGGUGUCAUUUUUGAGCUCCUGGAAUUAGGCUGGUUUAGUAGGAGCUGGAUCACAGCGUAAUCACAGCUGUGGCACCCUGCCGAGCCGAGGAUAUGAGCCACUUUCUGUCGGGGCAGCUCAGGUGAAAUGAAUCUGAAUGCAAAAAGAAUGGGAACAAAAUUAGCUCAUUUGUUUUUACACAUCAGGGCAGAUUUACAUCUGAACUAGUAUUUCUUUGUCAAGGUGAUCUUCACACUUAAUCAAAUGAGUAAGAUUUGAAGUAAUGGAAGUAAGGUUAAAGGAGAACAAAAGGGGGGAAAUAUGAGGGUAACAGGAGAGUAUUAGGAAGAGUAAAGGAGGAUAAAAGGAGGGUUAAAUUAGGAUAAAAUAGGGUGAUCAUAUGUCCUCUUUUACCCGGACAUGUCCUCUUUUUGGGGGGCUGUUAGGGUUUGUCCAGAAAAGUUUUUAAAAUCCUUAAAUGUCCGCAUUUCUGUAUGUAAGUUUUGAUUUUGUGUCACGUGGACUUACUGAGUUAGAAGCGUGUAAAAGACACUCCAUCUACCCGAAAAACUCUCAAAAUUAACUUUGUGCGACUGUAUGACUCCGCCCCCUCAAAGUUGUGUCCUGUUUUUGGGAGGUCAGAAGAUGAUCCGCCCCCCAAAAAAUUAGUAUAAAAAGGGCAAGAGGAGGGUGUAAAGGAUAAAAGAAGGUAAGAGCAGGGAAAGGGGAGGGGAAUAAAAACAGGAUAAACAGGAAGGAGAAAUAGAAAGAUAAAAGUCGAGUAAAACAAGGGUAAAAGGAGGUCGAUAAGAGGAAUAUAGAUGGAGGAAAAAAGAAGUAUAAAAUGAGGGUAAAGGGGAGAAUAAAAGGGUGAUGAAAGAAGGGUUAAAGGAGGAUAAAAGGUGGGUAAGAACAGGGGGAAAAGGCAGGUUAAAUGAGGGUAAGUAGAGGAUAAAAGACAGGUAAGAGGAGGAUAAAAAAUGGAUAAUAGGAGGUUAAACAGAAAGGAGGGGAAAGAGAGAGCAAAGGGAGGAUAAAAGGAGUAAAAGGAGAAUCAAAGGAGGAUAAAAGGAAUGUAAAAGAAGCAUAGGAGGGAAAAGGGAGUAAAUGGAGGGUUAGAGAAAGGUAAAAGGAGGACAACUUAAGAGUAAAAGUAGAGUCAAAGAAGGAUAACAGAAGUGUAAAAGAAGGGGAAAAAACAGAAUAAGAUGAGGGUUAAAGGUUGAGGCAGGUAAAGGAAUACUUCCUUCUCUAGUAGCCCUGAUUGAUCCGAGAUCUUUAGCUAACUUAUUGGUAAACAUGAAGUGUGUCUCUAGCCAGGUGGAGAGCUCAAGAGGCUAUCGGCUCCUUCACUCUCUCUCACAUCAGCUUGACUGGAUAAGAGACGAUACACACAGUAAGCCCGAAAAUCCAUUUAAGGGAGUGCUGACAGUGAAGUAAUGAAGGUUCCCGUAUCAACCUCAAUGAUUUUGUCCUCACUUCAUCUGACUUUCUACCCGGUGUGUCACCCCCAAAUCCUCACCCAGGAUCACCGGUGCUGUUUACCCCCCAUAGGUGUCACAGAAAAUCAUCCCAAACCCGCUGCAAGGCCUGGGUUUGUUUACCUCAAACAGAUCCCCAGUGCCAACAUUUUUAAGUUUCCUUUCUCUCUCUUCUCACAGGAAACUUGUGAUACGUGCUCCUGUCUGUGCAGAAUUUUAAUUCAGUUGACACUCAAGGCAUCGGGCAAGACGAGGCAAUAACUCAUCCUGUCUGAAUGCUGAUGGCUGAGUUUAGCCUUGAAUAAAAACAUCAGGGAUCGAGUCUAUCCAAUGUUCAAAUUAUCUGCUGAGCUGUAACAACCUUGCGUUGCGGGUCAUAUGCAAAUUUAAUAAUACUUUUAAUGGACUUUGUGAAAGUCUGACAUCUGUCUUACUCUGUUUCUGUCCUGUUCCAGUUUCUAACCUUAUGGGAGAUACUGUACCUUGUGUUACAUACAGUCUCGAAUGAAUAAGUGACGACUGAACUAUGAACCUUAAUGGAUCAUCAUCACAAUGAACCAGCAUAUAAGAAAACAAGAAUUGAAUGCAUGUCUAUACAUAAUAUUUACAGAGCUGCCAAGCGUCACGCUUUGAGUGUGACAGUCACCCAAUUUGACCCAUUCUCACACCAAACACCACACUUGACGAUUCUCAUGCUUAUUUUUCCCCAUUCAAAACUCUGUAUUUAUUUUUUUUGAUGAUAAUAAACUUGGCUUGCUGUAGUUCAAGUAACUCUAAUUGACUGACCGUGAUAACCAAUCCCAGAUUAAUCCAUCUGUCCUUUGUGCCUAAUGCCGCGUUCGAGUUACCUCAGAAGUCAGAUGUCGCAGCUGAAAAUGACGUCACACCCGAGUUACCAGCGUUUCAGUUACCAAGUCAGAAAAAAGCAAAAUCGGAGGGCUGAAACAAGAUGGCUACGUCUACGAAAGUUACUUUAGCGCUUGCCUUACAGACAAGGAAAGUGCUAAAAUAACUUUCGCAGAUGUAGCCAGGUUGUUUCUGCCUCUGAUUUUGCUUUUUUCCGACUUGGUAACUGAAACGCUGAGUUUUUUUGGGGUCUUGGCAUCUCUAGCUAUCUUUCACACACGACAGUGUUAAUUCUGGCUUAAUUUCCUGCUUUUAAGUCAAGUCAAAGUUAAUUUAUAAAGCAACUUUUAGAAGACAGCAGUCAAACAAAUUUUACUUAAACCUUACUGGGGCCUGAGCACCAAGCAGGAGUGAGGACCUAAUUGUAAUGCCUAAGAUCAUUUCUUGUGACUAUUUUACAUUUUUGUUGCAACCCUCAUGAACUUUUCACAGCACAUCAGACCUGGCAAAAAUAAUAAUAAUAAUUGAUAUUUUGAUGGUUUUGGACAUGAGUAUGAAUAGUUAUCUCACUGGCGCCUCCUAGCAGUUUUCAUUAGGGCAUGGUGAGCCCUCCAAGUAAAGUGUUUCACUAUUAGACAGGAAGUAGUUUUUAUCUCCGCCAUGCAUGCUCCAAUUUUACCGAAACUCGCCAAGCAUAAUUAGGGUCAAGCCCUGAACAGAUUUAUGUAGUAAUAUUUCAUCCAAGCUAUAGCGCCUCCUGCUGGUAGGUGGAAAUUUCAUGCUGUUACUGUAUGAGAUUAAUCUCCUCGACCGUAGAAUAUAUCUGCGUAAUUUUUGGGUAACAUAUCCUUGAGAUGUUGAUCUUCAUGUGUGUCAAAAACCGUAAGUUUUUAUCAGAGGUAGUGGUCUUCAUGGUGCAGUGGAGUUCAAUUAUAACAUGAUGUCUUGGACAAAAAUUUCACUAUGCCUUUGCUCAGCUGAUUCACUGAAAGAUGAGUAACUUAAGCUUAGGUGGAUGCAAAUACAAGUCUUUUGUUAGGUUUUACUCUAUUUUCCAUUAAGAGGCAGCAGAAAAGCAGUCCUCAUACUGUGCUAACUUAGCCAACCUAUAGGUCAGAAAUGUGGGCCACCAUUUUUUAAACCUCACUCUCAAGGGCUUGCUUUUGUUGUUGAUUUUGGUGCCCCCUGAAGGCCAAGUGAUACCUCUCCUCCUUCAUUUCAGUUCUCCUGUGGCAUGUAAAAGUACAUUUACCAAAUUUUGUGAUUAAUAUAUAAAUAUAAAAAUAAAAAUAAAAAUAGAGAAUAUUCUUUGAUUUUAAUGCUCUUAUAGAUUACAAAGGUUUGGUCUAAAACGUAAGAAUUUCAUGUUCUUUUAGGGAAAUUUGAUGUUGACUUAAUCCAGAUUUUUUUAUAUAAAUAUUGUGUUAAGAAGUCUUUUGUAAUUUUUUGGUUGGUUUGGGUAAGUUUAUCAUAUACUUAGUAGUCCCAGGGUCCCUCUCGCUCUAACCUUGAUUCAUGGUUUAGUUCUUCUGUUACAGUUUUCUGUUUUAUCCUCCUUACUUGGCCUUUGGAAAAUCUUCAUCAGCUUUAGGCCUUUAUUCUUAAAUAUAUUACAGCCUGCAGGGGUUUGUCAAAUCUCCCCCCAACACUUCAACUUUCCCUGCACCUGCAGACAUUUCUGCCCUCAAGCCCAUGUUACCUUUUAAAAUCAACAUCUUUAUCAUCGGAGACAUUUCUCUGAUAGCGAACACUGUGAUGCAUUUUUACUUUUAAUUAUUCACACAGUUCUCUGAGAGGUCUGCGAUGAAAAAAACCUUUUGAUCUCGCCCUUCCUUGUGAUAAAUAUUCAUUGUGAUGCUAAUGUUGUCAAAGCCUCUGUUUAUAGUUGAUGGGUCUCUUGGUUAUUUUAAUUGCCUUUCAUGAAUAUUUUCCUCUGACGCAUCGAUUCAGAGGACGUAACAGUAGUUAGCAGCAGGAGGAGGACAUGAUAGGUGGAUGAUGUAUACUUCCUCUGGCAGCCUCCAGGCAGCUGCUCUAUUCAGAGUGAGUGACGGUUCAAGCUGAAGGUAAGACGGCUGCUAAAUCUUCACCACGGCUGCACAACCAGUGAUUACUCCUCCCUGCAUAAAGCAUAAAGCUUGCUGGGAGCGCUGACAAGGCUGCAGCUGGAUGGACUUAGGUGAGACUCCAGGAGAGCUGGCCCCUCUGGCAUUGUACGAAUAGCUGCUAUAGCUACCCCCCAACUCCAUCUGCCUGAACCAGCAGGCUGCAAACCUUGGGCAAAGUUUGCACCUGUCACUCAGACUAAUGGUCAAGGUGAGGAUUAGGGCUGGGUUACAUGUCUUGGAUGAGUGGGUGAAGGGGGACAAUGCAUUCCUGACAUAGCCGGGAGAUGAUCAUACUGACAUUUACAGGCAGGGAAAGACAGAGCGAGGCAACAUGGCCGUCCCCAUUAAACCACACAAACAGUUUGGGAUCUGUGAGUGUUAUGAUUGAGGGCCUCAUUUUGGUUUUAAUGAAGCGUCUCAAACGGGGGCUAAAAUGAGGGUUUUCAGAGACAACCCUAAUCUCGUUUUUGUGCAUUUUUGUGUAUCAGUGACUGGUUUAAUCUUAUCAAGAAACAGCAAGAAAAUACUUAAAGUUGGUCUUUCUCAUCAAUUUAUAAAUCAAGUAUAAUUUCAGCCUUUUUAAAAUGUAACUCAUUUACUGUUUUUGGCGCUUUUGUGGCUCCAUAGCUCAGUUUAAGAGCCUUUAAGAGUCAAAUACAGGAGGAUAUUCUUGCCAUAUUUCAGCAUGUUGAGGUCGCGGCUUUCUCUGCACGUUAUACUUCACCUCUCCUGAACUGAAAAGCCCUGUAAGCUGUUUGUCCUGAGGGGAAGAAAAGCAGUCUGCUCUCUACAGCAGGGGUCACUGUUGAACUGAAACACUCUUUACAAUCAGCCUCCAUCUCCCUCUCGUUCUCUCACUUUCCCUCUCUUCCUCCCCUUUACUGUCAGGGAAAAUUUAGCAUGACAGAGCUGGAACAAUAACUUGAUUUAAUAUCUAGGUCAUGCAAAGAUCUUCUAAUCUUAGCAAAGAGAAUAUUUAUUGACUGGGGGUGACUGACUUGCAGUGUCGGCUGCAGUUAGCAGAUAGAUUUGGGGUGAAUAAUUAAGCUGUGGGCUGAAUCUGCAUGUCAGAGGAGGUGCAGGGGUACAGUGGAGUGCCUCCUUGUCAGAAAAAAAAAAAAGCCAAAGGGAGAAAGAGAGCAGAGUGAUGAAUAAAAAUAAGGUGUUUGAUUAAUAUGGCAAGUUUGGGGAAAAAGUAGUUUGGAGUUUAUAGGUCAUGGUGGCUCAUCAUAACAGGGUGUAAAGUAGAAACUCUCUUCUGUGUUGUCGCUCAUAAAGCAGAGGACAUGUUCAGGUGUUAGGGCAUGCUUCCUGUUUUUGGCCAUUUGAGUUAGAAAAGGCCAUCAGUGCAAUUAUAUUAGAGCAGAGCCUGUCUUAAUGUGGGCAACAUGUGUAUGUUGGUAUUCGCUUUGUUUUCAGAUCCAGUAUCAAUUUUUGGUGUUGAGUUUUACCAGACAGAAAAUUUUCCACAUUAAAGCUCUGGUACAAACUUUUUUUGGAUGGUUAUGGACCAGGCUGAAAUUAAUGGUAAUAAAAUAUUUUAACGUUUACAAAAGCAAACAAGCUCAUCAGCCAUAAGACUGAUAUUUUCUAUGUUGUAAUUUUUUCAUGGCUGUGGGCAAACAAUCAAUUUCCCUGGAGAAAUAGUCUUUCUUUCUAUUGGAAAUAUUCAACACGGAAAGACUUUGUGUUAGAAAUAUUCAACAGCUAAAGAGGACAAGAUCAGCAAAGAGAUAAAAAGUCCUACUUUGUUCUGAUGUUAGCUUAUGAGCUGUCAAAUAAAUAUAUAUAUAUUUAUCUUAAUGUAUGGGCCAGUCUCUCUUCUAAUUGAUUAACUCAUCAGAGUCGCACCCCUAGCAACAGUCCAUUCCUCAAAUUGCAGACUGCUGCUUUGAAAUGUUAAGUAAUGGCCAGUCAAAAUCCAAUACUAUACUUUAUUGAUGUGGAACAAAGAGGGAUAUGGUCCAUGGAUGUCUUGUUUAAAAUGUAGAAUAAAUUGAGUCUUAACCCUCCUCCUGUGUUAGGGUCUGCAGCGACCCGUUUUUCAUUUUAAAUGCUUAAAAGAACCACUUGCCGUAGUGUAGUGUAGAUGUCUGUAUGAGGGGUAUACUGACAAAGAAAGGCCCAGAGGACCACAACAAAAAUAUUAUACGCAAUAUUUACAUGGAUAAUGAAGCCUAACAAGUUAAACUAGAGAUAUGAACAAACCUGGAUGAUAGAGAAUUGUUUUUGGUGUAAUUUACAGCUGAUUUAAGGCACGAGUCAAAACCGACCCUUAACAUGCUGGGUGCAUAGUAAAAGCUAACACAAAUAUCCAAAAGCAAAUCUAUUCAUAAGUUAAACUCCAGGAGUCCAUGGUGGAACGUUUCCCCGUCGCCAACCAGGUGGUACUGGAUUACCAACGAAAGAUCUAGAUGCAUUCAGAGCAGAUUCACAGAGACCAGGAUUUCCACCUCAUCCCCUACAGUACAAGACCAUCUGUUACAACAUGACUAAAAUCUGUUGAACAAUUGAACUCUCUCCAUGGUAACUGAGCAAACUUAUUCCUCUGACAGAAGCUAGUUCGAACUUUUUUACUUUGAUUGUUACAAACUCCUGCGGCUACCUUGAAAUGUAAUUUUUUUUCCAAUAACAUUUUUUGGCCUCUAGUCUAAAAAUAUGGUAGAUUAAGACAAACAUUUAUAAGAUCAGGAACACUGUGACUGUGACCCGGCUGGUCUCUCAUAAAUCAGAUGACCAUUUAUCCAUUUCCUUGUGACAGUGAUGUAACAGUUACUCCUCACUAAACGAGAAGAGAGGAGCUUAAGGAGCCGCUGAUCAAUGAGAGUCUUUAGACGGCGCUUUGUGAACAGAAUACCGAAAAGGCCUCUGGGAAAAAGCUCACCCGGGGUCGCCCAAUCAUUCAGCGGCAGCAGCAGCAGCAGAGCGAGGCUCGGAGUGUGUGUUAGCUAGAGGCGAAUUUGUCUCCAAACACAAACCCCCUCACUCUGGACAAACAGGGCCAAAGGGGCGCUCGGUUUCAGCGUCUGAAUAUUAAUGAGAAGGCUCUGCAAACCUCUUCAAACCUUUUCUGUUGCUAUUUUCUAAACACACAGAUCAGCUUUGCACUCUUAAUCCUCUCGCUUUCACAGAGGUGGCAGUCAGUGUCCUGGGUGCAACGAGCUGCAGGCAACACCUGACCUCUCUGUCUCAGUCUGAACUUUGGACGACCUCUGUGUCAUAGGCGGUGCAAAGGUUUAAAACCAUGGCACUCUGUGGUUGCAUGGUGGACUAUAAAAACAAUGUUAAAGGUCUCAGUCAAAGCAGACAUUAUACAAUAAUUAUAAUAGUGUUUCUCUGUUAAAGAUCACGUUUAUGUAUGUUAAAGAUACGUUAGGUUGCAAUUCUCCUGGUUAGACCAAGUAAAGAUCUUUUCAUUUACUAGGCCUCGGUAGCAUGGAGUUUUGGCUUUUUGUCGUCUCAAGCCAGGGCUUUCUGGUAACCUUUAUACCAGUACUUGUUUGACUCUCUUAUCAAUGAGCCAAGCUGGAGAAACUUCUGUAUUAUUAAGUGUUUCUACUCUAUUUAACUAUAUUCCAGUUCAUUAUUUCUCUGUGCAACAGCCUCAAACAGCUGAACAUAAUAAUUAGGGAACCUUGGACAAAGAUAACAAUCAUAGAGGUUUUGUGUUUUGUCAGGCAGUUUUAAAUAUUCUAUCUCUGCUGUAAGGAAACUUUCUUGUGGCGCACACUGAAAGACUUUUAGAACCUUAAAGGGAUAUUCCAGCGUAAAAUUAAGUUAGGGUCAAACACACCGUAACACUGAUUUAGACACCCCGUCGAGAGAUAAAUGUUGCCAACUGCUUGCUUCUCUAGUUAUACCAACUUUAGUGAUGACCGCACGAUAGCAAUACACAGAGCCAUGCACUCAACCAAAACACCACUCUAUAGCCACAAAUAAUGCUCAGAACAGCACCUAACUUCAUCAACAGUACAUACAGGGUCCUAGCCGGCAAACAUCUUUUUAUAAUUUUGUCCAAUUUCUGUAGCAAAGAGACUAAACACAACUCACCUACUCUCUUCCAGCAGUGAGACCUCGGAUGAGUCCAUUACGGACUACAACGGGGUGACGCAGCUCAAGGAAGAACAUUUAUGAUCAUUUCUUUAUCAUUUUCCUGAAGUAAUAAUCACAAUAUCAAUCAUUUUGCACUGCAGACAUGGUAGUUCUUCUGCUCUAGCAUCUCGGUCUGAGAGGGUGAGUUGUGUUUAGUCUCUUUGCUAAAGAAAUUAGGCAAAGCUAAAAAGAUGUUUGGUGGCUAGUACUAUGGCUGGGACCCUAUAUGUACUGUUGAUGUAGUUAGUUGCUGUUCUGAGUAUUAUUUGUGGUUAUAGAGUGGCGUUUUGACCCUAACUUAAUUUUACGCCAGAAUAUCCCUUUAACUGUUUUUAAAAAUGUCAGAAAUAAAGGUUGCUGACCAACAUGAAGCACCCCUAAGUGUGCAUCUAUUGGGAUAAUUAUAGUAAACUCUUAUUCUCCACUGAAAGUAGAAGUGAGAGGUUUUGUCCUGUUAUGAUUCCCCUAUCCUAACAGAAGUGGUGAUUUUAGGAAUCUUUACUUAAACUGGCUGUAAAAUGCAGUUGGAUGAUGUGGGGCAAUAUUGUUUUUAGUCCCUCUGAGAAAAAUGAUCAAUAUUUGUCAUGUCCAUCCAUGUCGGUUAGAUAUUUUGUUUUUCCCUUUUCUUGGGAUAAGGACCACAACUGUCCUUAUCCCAGGACACUGUCCAAAAGAGCAGGUCUAGACCACACUCAAAGACCCAACCUUGAGAUGGGACAGAGUUGACCCAUCCCAUCAUCAUCUGUGUUUCAGGUUCCUGUUUGCCUGCCCCCACUUGUAUGAGUGACUUUUUUCGGUAAAGACUCAGAUAUUUUUCGACAUAGUUGUUUACCUUUUGUUCCUAUGAGACAAUUUUUUCUAUAUAAAGAUCAUUUUAAUUUCCUAUGUUUGAGGUCAAAUAGUCAUUGUAGGACUUUGUAAAGACAAUGGAAAGGGCAGAGCUGUAAGUUCAAGGCUUAAAAGAUAAAACAGGUGAAAUUAAUCACAGAAAGGCCUCCAUAAUGCUGCCCAAGGUGACUGAGAAAAUUACUGGCAGCUUUGAAUUGUUUAUCUUUCCACAAAUGAUAAGCAUGGCAUGGACAUAUAAAUGAUUGCUUUAAUCUUUUACGUUUAUCGUUAUUCCUCAGAGAACUUUUUAAAAUGCCUCCAGGGCUGUCGAUUAAAUAAAUCAUGAAAAGGUUUUUCAUAAAAUAAGUGUGAGAGGAGUGUUUGAAUAUCUACUGAGCGCAGAUUAGACAGUGAAGAGUUGUAUCAGAAUGGAACUUUCCAAUUGCGGCCGUUUUUCACUUUAUUUUUCACAAUUUUUGCGCUUUCAUUUCACAAAUGUUCCCCUUUUUUUCUGUAUUUAUUCUAGGAUUUUUCAAAGCAUAAUACACCAACCUGAUGUGAUGGGAAAUGAAUGCAGUCCUGUGUAGUUGCACUUAGAAAGUCUUUUUUUUUUCUUGGCAUAGCGGGAGGCUUACAGGUAGGUAAUGGAUGGACUAAAAUACAGACGAUAGGUUUUCUUGCAAAGACCAAGUCUUGGCUUCACAGCAAAUGUAUGUGGCGAGCCUCUUAAGCACCAUGGUCGUGCUUAGUCUCAUUGUACAUGUGACACCUCACACCCUGCUGUAACUUUGUCUAAAGUGUAGCAUAGCUCUAAGGAGAACAAUUUGUAAGGUCAUAAAGUCAAGCAAAGACUGUAAAGGAAAAGAAAAGGUGAUAUCUGAUGUUAUUUUUGCGAAGUGGAGGCAAAGAAGAAGGUACUGGCAGGCUAACAAGAACAGGAGACUGUAUAGGAAAGUCCAGGUGACAUAAAACUACAAGGGCAAAACACAAAGUGAGGGAAGCAACAGAGGACAGGGCGGCUGGGUCGAACUGGCAAACAAACAAAGAAAAUAGUCCAGUGCAUAUGGAGCGAGGGUGAUGAAAAAGGUGGAGACGGGUGAAAGAGAAAGGUCAGAUUACUUCAGGACUAAUGAGAACAGAGAACAGAUGUGUAGAUGAAGAAAGGAGGACAGAACGUGACAAAUUCAGCUCUAUACUGUUUAUAAAUAUGUAAAUUUCUGCUCUGAGAGGAAUGUGUAAAUGCAUUGUGUGAAAUGUAAUUGUGAAGUCAAACCAACACGAAAGAAAACGCCUCAUAUGCAGAAACAUAUUCAAACACUUACUAUAUAGUGAUAAGACGGCUAAAUUAAAGAAGCUCUUGCUGUCAAUCAGCGCAAAGCUACAUGAAUAAAUUAAUAUUUGUUGGCUGAAUAUGCUCAAUUAUACCAGAAAUAAAUCAAGACUCAUUGAAUUACACCCCAAGACCAAUGUUUGCAAUUAUUUUAUGUAGAAAAGGUAUUUGAUCUUGUUUUCCUCAUUUUAAAGUAUUUUUCUGCUGAGCCUAAUUAUUUAAAAGUGCAAAAGCUUUUCCUUGAGAGAUGUGAAACAAAAACUGAAAAAUACGAAAUAGAUCCAUUUUGGGCAAGAACCAUAUGAUAUGGAUAUAUUUGAGGGUUAACAUGGAUUCCAGAAACUUGCUUUUGAAUUAUGCACCAAUAGCAAGCCGGGUGUCCCUUUUCCCUUUGGAGUUGAGAGAUUUGUGUCCACGAUUUCCAAGAAGAAUGUGAUACGAUCCCAGAGAAGUUGGAUCAUGUCUGUAUAUUGAUUUACUAUUCACUAUUGAGGCAGCAUUGCUUUCAAAAGAGAUGUGGCUUAAUGGAAGUAUUAGAAAUAAAUGUCUGUUUUUUAACUCCUGGCUUGUAAUCAGCUGAGACUGAAAAAAAAUGUCUAUAAGAGGGCAUCUAAAGACUUUUGAAACAUAUUUUCUUUCUCUCCUCCCUCUUCUCUUUUUGCAUCUCUGGUUGGAGGGACUAAGGCGCAAGUAAAUCAUGAAACUGAAAGGCUAUGAGACUUUGCCAGUGUCAGCGAACCCCAUCCAAACACCACUGGCACAGCUACUCGGAGCAGUUUGGAGUUAAAUGCCUUGCACAAGCAAUUUGGUAUAUGGACAGCGAGGCCUGGGAUCAAACCCCUGACCUUCUAAUUGAGAGCCAACCAACUCUACAGCUGAGUCACAACCAGCCCCUCCUAUCUGCAGGUCCCAAGAUUUUGGCUAUCCAAUAUACAUUCUGUAAUUAUGCAGAGAAAUAUGUUUCCAGGGGAAAAAGCUUCCGGGCGAUAAAACCUGCGAUAUGGCUUUUCAAGCACAUCCAAUAACAGAAACCUGCCACCUUGUUUGCUCCCCCAUCCAUCCACUCAGCCAAAGCCCAGCAUGCAGACAAAUAAAUCUGUUAAUAUCUAACUGAUUUACCAAUUCAUGAGAAGAUAAAAGUGCAAGGAACUUAACCAAUUCUAUUUGAGCAAA